CCUCGGGAGGCAGAAGUGGGGAAGAGUGGGCAAGGGGCGCAAGCCGGACCCAGCAACGCCGAGUGAAGGAAGAAGGGUUUCGGGUUGUAAACGUCUUUGAAGAGGGAAGAGCAGAAGACGGUACCGCUUGAAUAAGCCACGGCUAACUACGUGCCAGCAGCCGCGGUAAGACGUCGGUGGCAAGCGUUGUCCGGAUUUACUGGGUGGAAAGGGCGUGCAGCCGGGAAGACAAGUCAGAUGUGAAAUCCCGCGGCUCAACCGCGGAACUGCAUUUGAAACUGUUUUUCUUGAGUACCGGAGAGGUCAUCGGCAUUCCUUUUGUCGCGGUGACAUGCGUAGAUAUAAGGAAGAACUCCAGUGGCGAAGGCGGAUGACUGGACGGCAACUGACGGUGCGGCGCG
RNAcentral lists this ribosomal RNA (401 nucleotides) under uncultured bacterium. RNAcentral describes it as "partial 16S ribosomal RNA". It matches the Rfam family "Bacterial small subunit ribosomal RNA", at positions 339 to 755 of the family's 1533-position model. The record is from RNAcentral.